RNAcentral lists this ribosomal RNA (484 nucleotides) under uncultured bacterium. RNAcentral's name for it is "partial 16S ribosomal RNA". It matches the Rfam family "Bacterial small subunit ribosomal RNA", at positions 30 to 507 of the family's 1533-position model. The record is from RNAcentral.
AUUGAACGCUAGCGGGAUGCUUUACACAUGCAAGUCGAACGGCAGCGCGGACUUCGGUCUGGCGGCGAGUGGCGAACGGGUGAGUAAUGUAUCGGAACGUGCCCAGUAGCGGGGGAUAACUACGCGAAAGCGUAGCUAAUACCGCAUACGCCCUACGGGGGAAAGCAGGGGAUCGUAAGACCUUGCACUAUUGGAGCGGCCGAUAUCGGAUUAGCUAGUUGGUGAGGUAACGGCUCACCAAGGCGACGAUCCGUAGCUGGUUUGAGAGGACGACCAGCCACACUGGGACUGAGACACGGCCCAGACUCCUACGGGAGGCAGCAGUGGGGAAUUUUGGACAAUGGGGGCAACCCUGAUCCAGCCAUCCCGCGUGUGCGAUGAAGGCCUUCGGGUUGUAAAGCACUUUUGGCAGGAAAGAAACGUCGCGGGCUAAUACCCCGUGGAACUGACGGUACCUGCAGAAUAAGCACCGGCUAACUACGCG